Neogale vison (American mink) is the source of this 1259-nucleotide long non-coding RNA. RefSeq lists it as uncharacterized. Lineage: Eukaryota; Metazoa; Chordata; Mammalia; Carnivora; Mustelidae. The record is from RefSeq and is a predicted model, not a curated record. The transcript is spliced from 4 exons.
AAAAUUUCUUUAAUGCUUAUGUAGAAUGCCAGCUUCAAGGAUUAUUGGAAAAGUACUAGAAUCUUCCCUUUCUUUUUUCAGGUCUCGUGGGAAUGCUCUCUAUUUUGUUGUUGCCUUGGAAAUGUCUUGGCAAUUUGGACCAAAAUCAGUCUUGAUAUGCUCUAAGGCAUAUGUCUUAACUACAUGGUUGGCUUUUAAAUUCUUACCUCUGUAGGGAUCUUUUUCAAAGGUGCUCAGCUAUUUCUGCUAGCUGUUGCAUUCUUAUAUGAAUUUCCAUUGGAAUAAAUUUUUUAAAUCUCUGUCCAGAUCCACAAAGCAUCUUUGUUCUUUGAGGGCAGGAAUUCUGUGCAUAUAGUACUAUGUGCAUGCCUCUUGAAUGAUGAAUGUGAUUUGAUAUUGUGAGGAUUCAAGUGGGCCCCAUGGUAUAUUGGUCUGCAUUCUGGAGUUUGAUAUUAUGGGGAUUUGUGGGAAGAUUCUGGAGAAUAAGGAAAUGAUCACUUGUCUUCUUUUAGACCUACUGGGAUGGUGAUGCUCGCCUCUUGAAGGAAGGUGUAUUCUGCUCUCAUCACUUUCCAUGAUCAUUUGUUGGUGUGGAAUGCCUUUAAAUUUUGGUCUUUAAGGUUUUUGCUGAGGAGUAUCAAUUGAUAGAUAAACCCAAGGACCAAUGAGUAUGCAGAGAAGUUUCAACUAGUUCUUAACCGCAAAAGUCUACCUGAUUCAACGUGAUAAGACCGCUCCAUUAAGACAGCUAGCCCAAUGCCAGGCGCAAAAUGAGCAUCCAAACAAGGAGUGACUGAAUGAUGCAAAACCACCUUCGCAGGUUCAUGCUGGCAAGGCGGCCAGCCGCUAAACUGCAGGCGCGUCAGAAACCGCAGUGAGCCUGAGACCGCGGGAGCACUCUGGGAUUCCCAGCUCGAUCUGUACCAGUUCUCGGUUGGGCCGGAAAGCCGAAAGAGACGCCUGCAACAGCUGUUUCUGUGAGACUUGGGGGCCACGGUGUUGAGUUCAGUGGACGUGGCAAUGCAGAAUAUCUUUCAGACAAGGCCAUUUCGAUUGCACUUUGUGAUGCCUGGGCUCUGAGUUUUCUCAGCAUGUUCUGUGCCACAUCAACUCUACUAAGGAAACAGUGUAAGUCCUAGUGGGUCUCCUGCGAGGAAGGGGCUGGUACCACGUCCACAUCGGAAUCCCCCAAGACAACGCCAGCAAUACAUCAGAAAAUGAAGUUUCUAUCUGAACAUUUAUUCCACAGUCAUAGAAAC